UUAUGACAAAUAACUCAGCAGGGA
Molecule: non-coding RNA, 24 nt
Filed under: Drosophila erecta
Lineage: Eukaryota; Metazoa; Arthropoda; Insecta; Diptera; Drosophilidae
Also listed under: 2 other names
Source: RNAcentral